This 441-nucleotide ribosomal RNA is filed under the name uncultured bacterium. RNAcentral describes it as "partial 16S ribosomal RNA". It matches the Rfam family "Bacterial small subunit ribosomal RNA", at positions 338 to 795 of the family's 1533-position model. The record is from RNAcentral.
CCUACGGGUGGCAGCAGUGGGGGAUAUUGCACAAUGGGCGAAACCCUGACGCAGCGACGCCGCGUGAGUGAAGAAGUAUUUCGGUAUGUAAAGCUCUAUCAUCAGGGAAGAAAAAAGACGGUACCUGACUAUGAAGCCCCGGCUAACUACGUGCCAGCAGCCGCGGGAAUACUUAGGGGGCAAGCGUUAUCCGGAUUUACUGGGUGUAAAGGGGACGUGGACGGGAAUGCAAGUGGGAAGUGAAAGAGCCGGGCUCAACCUGGGGACUGCUUUGGAAACUGUAUGGCUGGAGUGCUGGAGAGGGAAGCGGAAUUCCUGGUGUAGCGGUGAAAUGCGUAGAUAUUAGGAGGAACACCAGUGGCGAAGGCGGCUUACUGGACAGUAACUGACGUUGAGGCUCGAAAGCGUGGGGAGCAAACAGGAUUAGAUACCCUUGUAGUC